Phyllostomus discolor (pale spear-nosed bat) is the source of this 11965-nucleotide long non-coding RNA. RefSeq lists it as uncharacterized. The record is from RefSeq and is a predicted model, not a curated record. NCBI's taxonomy places the organism in Eukaryota, Metazoa, Chordata, Mammalia, Chiroptera, Phyllostomidae. The transcript has 2 exons.
GAGGGGGAUAGGAGAGGCAAUGGAUUAAUGUGAACGGUUCAAGAUAAAAAGGCUGGAGCAAGUAGCUCCAGGAGUAGGAGACGUGGACUGAGACAGCAGAGUUCUCCCUUGGUCUGCUGACAUGGAGUCACAUGACUAGGGAGUCCCGGAAGUAACUGAGACUAUGAGACUUCACUGAGGAUUUCAAACAGGGAGCCCAAACCGUGUCUAUGCUGUAGGUCCAGCCUGGUGCCAAAUGGCAAGACUGCUUUGCAUUUUAUAAGCACAGAAUCGUCUUUAUGGAAAUAAAAUAAAAAUAAUAGCUAGUGUCCACAGUGUUUACUGUGAACUGAGCAUUUCAUGUCCACUAUCUCAUUUAACUCACAUCACAGGCCUGAGGUGUUUGAGCUGUUCUUAUGCCCAUUUUUCACACUGAGGAAAUGGAGAUCAGGAUGAAUCUAAAUAACUUUCAAAGGCUAUAUGAGUUUCCAAGUGGCCAAGUGUAAAUUCAGACCCAGUCUAGGAUGUGGGAGGCUCCUUCCUAACUACCCAGCAUUCCAUAGGGCCUCUGGGAACAGCUAUAGGGACUGAGCACUCAGCGAAGCAGACAGAGAGAGAGCUGAGCCUCAUAUACACUCACACAGAGCAAGAGAACUAAAAGCUAAAAUUAAGUCUGGAUUUUAAGUACAGUUUUUAUUGGGUACAGAAAAGUGCACAAAUUAUAAGUGUGCAGCUCAGUGAAAUGCGAACACCCAUGUAACCAGUAUCCAGAUCAAGAUAUAGAUGGUUACUGGCUCCCAGAAACCCCCACGUGCCCCCAUCCCCAAAGGUAACCAGUACCCCUGACACAAUCGCCAGAGAUUAGUUUUGUCUGGUUUUUAGUUCUAUGACUGGAAUCCCACUCUGCUGCAUUUGGCUUAUUUCACCCCACGUUAUGUUUGUGGGGGUCUCUAUGUGGCUGUCUGUGGCAGCAGUAUUUGUUUACUAUUGCUGUAUGGUAAUACAGUUACUUAUCCAUUGCAUUCUUAAUGGACAUUUGUUUUUUUUCCUAAUCGGAGGCCUUUCUGAAGAGUACAGGAAGGAACAGUCUCAUCCGUGCCAUUUGGUGAACAGAUUUAUGCCUUCACAUUGGGUGUCUUCCUAGCUGGGGAACUUGCUGGUUCACAGGACACGUGUAGAUUUAGCUGUAGUGGAUACAUCAAGAAGUUUUCCAAAGAGAAAAGACUAACAGAAUGAUUGAAAGGUUUUCUCCUACAGCAAAUGGGCAUUCAGGUAAAAACAGAAUUUUAAAAUACUGAAGGAUAUAUCAUAAAAAUUAUCACACAGUCAUUCUUCAAUAUAAGAAAUACACUGAAAAGUUAGUCCUUGUCUUGGAAAAUUGUCUAAAUAAUGGGAGUCAGGCGUGUCAAACUUUGUGGCAUGGGAGCUAAAGAGAAAACAGACUGAAAGGGUCUUGUAAGGAUCGGUGCACGCAGUAAGUAGCUGGGCAGGCUACAAACCAAGGCGGACACAGAGGAGCCGCCGGUCGUAUACUGCGAUUGCUAGUCCUCACCUUGCUGUGUGAGACCUGGAACCGUAAUGUCCCUGGAGCUCCACUUUCCCCAUUUGUAAUGGCAGACUUGCACCCACUGAGCUCUAAGUGCUAUUUUGAGUACAGAAUUGUGUGAUAUAGAUGAAAGACAGAAUGCUGCUGGCCUGUCAGAAACAGCAAGAAUUCAGUCCUAGUCACUUCCUAUUUAAUGCACCCAAAACGAGAAGAUAGAAGACCAUAGCCGUACUUUUGCUACAACAUAAAAAAUAAAAUAAAAAUUGAGGUUAGCUGGGCUGCUGCAUGAGGGAAUGCAGGGGAGCUGUAAGGGCAACUGGUGUGGGAGAAUGUUGUGGGGUAUAAUCCAAAAAUAAAGUGAUUCCAAGGUUAAAAAUAAAACUUAAAAUGUUCUCCUGGGUUCCCAAGUCACAGUGUUAAAAUGCCACACUUUGCCAUAUACAGCCCCCCGCUGUCUUUCUUCUUCUGUGUGCCUUUCCCCGCCCUCCCUUUUAGCCAGAACACCUUAAUGUACGAAACACAUUCCAGUGACUGUGUCUCUUUCCUAUUUGUAUUAUGUUUCUCAAUAACUACGUUCCUCAUAGUUUUCUUAAGUCAGAGCUUGAUUUUCAUUCUUUCUUUUUAAUAAAAAUAUGUAAGUUUACUAAUUUUCCUCUUCAUGUAGUUUUGGCUACAUCCCAUCAGUUUUGAAAUUUAACUUUCUCUGUGUCACUGUUUUCCAAAGAGUCUGCUUUUGUAUGGUUUCCUUCUAUGUCUUUUUAGCUGCAAUACCAAUUAAUAAAGUUUAGAAUCAACUGACACAUGGUCUUAAGUUGAAUAAAACCCAUCUUGAUAGUAUCCAUAAGAAGUCUGUCAUGCUUGUUACGUUUUUGAAAUUUUCCCAGAAUCUAUCCUUGUUCUUUCCGCCUGGAUCUGCUUUAAAAAGGGAACGCAUCCUGUCACGUGGGUAACAUUAGCUUGUCUUUGCUUUGCCGUGUUGAGACAAGAAAGCAAACCAAGCCAGCUGUAUAAGCAGCCCACAAACCAUGUCAUCUCUCUUCGCUGCCUCCUCUUCAUCCUCACUGACAUCUGAGGCCAAGCCAGCGCCGUGGGGCUGCCCUGAAUUUUGUACAGGUAACGAUUUCCUUUGUAAACACGUAUUUUGGACAUUGAAAUUAAGUGCACAGAAAAAAAAUUAUGGAACCCCAAAGACCAUAUUGACCUUUAGAGGAUUACUCUGAUUUUGCACACAAAGAGCAAUCUGGGAUACUGCCACUGAAAAGGCGAAAGUGCAAAAUAAAAGUUUCUUUCCUUUCUUUAAAUCUUAGUCUGAAGUGACAAAAGAGUAAUAACGUUUAUCAGGCUUGUGACGCCAUGGACACAAAUCCCCUCGUUUACAUCCAUGAACAGCAGCUGAGCUUCCAGCCUGGGAGAACGGGCAGGUCAGAGCGGUGCAGGGCCAGCAGUGGGCAGGCACGGGCUGGCAGCACUUCCGUGUGAGCAGGAAGAAAGAGUGGGCACCCACUGCGGCCCUUCCCCGCCCACUUAGGGAACCGAAACCCAGAGUGAAAAGACCCUCUUGGGUGCUGCAGUAUGCCAAAUGCCCUUCAGAGGUACAGAGCCUAUGGAGCAUUUAACACACAGAAAUGACAGGGAGAAACCCGGCAGUCAGCUGUUAUCAGGUCUAGCCAGGUUCCAGUCCAGAUUUACGCGCAUUCUCCCACUGAAAGUUCAUGAAAACCCUGGAAGUUAGGCAUUUCAGAGAUGACAGAGCUGAGACCCAGGGAAGGUAAGUGACUCGCCCCAUCAGCACAGAGUUGCACCGCCUGGCAGGCCAAGUCAUCAGUGGUUCGCAAGCCCCACACGAGAGUCUGUGAACUGAAAGCCAAACCUUCCUUCUUCUUUACUCCUCUCCUAUUCCUCCUCUGAGGUACACGGGCCAUUUUCCAAUUCAUAUUUUGUAAUUCACUGGGAACCAACUAGUAAAGAGCAUAUUAAGCAGAUGAUAAGAUUAUAAAGAAAAAAGCAAGUCAUUUGGCAUAAUUAUAAGGCUUGUAAGUAAAUAUAACUUCAGAUAAUUACAUGAUAAGCUUAAAAUAUCAAGAUUUUGUUUCUUGGAUUACUUCAAAAAUAUAGUCUCAGAAAACUGGAAUAGAGAAGUAAAGAUGAAUGGUAAAACGUAAAGAGCCCAUUUCCAUUCAGAAGGAAGGGAUGAGAACACGUUUUGCAGGACAAAAACAACAAAGCACAGCUGAAUGAACAGUUGUGCCAGGUGUGAGGAGCAAGGAAGAAAGGAAAGGGACAGUGACAAUUCAGCAGCCACCCUGGCCAUCAAACGCCAUGGUAUGUUUGCUCAUCCUAAGUAAAUGCUUCUUUUGAGAAAAUAAAUAUGCUGAGACAAAGAAAAGAGAUUGGCUAUGAAAAGCAAGAAAAUGUAGACAAUACCUAGAUGAUGAAAUGAGUGUUCAGUGGAUCAAAUAAAACUCUCAUUUCCAAAAUAAGGAUUACAUCUCAAAUGCAAUUACACAUAUAAAAUAACCAAAGCAAGCAAAAAAAAAAAAAAAAAAAGGACCAGGCUUUUAAAUUUUCAUGGCAGCAGUGAUGGUGCAUCACCAAGUAGCCUAAUUUCCAUUCUUUGACUAGUCAUUCAAAAAGUUACCUAUAAGCUUCUUAUUUUGCAUUUUGAGAAAAAAUGAUGUUGUAAUUCAUGAUUUGUCCUCUAGAAAGAUGUCAGCAAUAGUCAAUUUCCACAAAGGUAAGUGAUUAAGUAUGUUACCAACUCCACUAAUUUCUGACUCUGCUAUUAUCAAUCACCUUAUGCAGACAAAACCGUUCUCUAGUUUGAUACUAAGUCAACUGUUUUAAUAUUUAAUAUGGCCAAACUCACCACAUUGGCAAAGCACAGCUCCGCCUUAAGUCUUUGUCCUGUACAUCACAACUAAAAUAAAUGGCUUUAAAACUACAAUGAGAGUACAGUACUUCUUAAAUGAAGUCAAAAGCAAAUCCUCUUUUCAUUAACAAAAGAUUAGUGUAUUUCAAGCAUUUGGGGUUUGAGGCCUUUGACAGAGAGAAUGGCUCUCAUAAAGGUAACAUUAGAAAAACAGUGCUAAAAAGAAGUCAGCAUCUCAAAUGUCCUGCUUUUACACAACACUUGGAAAAACCAAGAAUGAGCCUUUGAUAUUCUGCUACCAAAAACAACCUUCAUUCCUCCCAUUUAUUAUUGUUAAUCUUUCCUGCACAAAGUCAUAUAAUAAUGAAAGAUCCCUCGGUUGAUUUUUCCACUGGAGCCCCAAGAAGUCUGAGAUACACUCAGAGGCAUGCCUUGGGUCAACUAUGACGUUUCAGAGGUCAGGGAAAGAUCAUGGACCUGCCAGAAAUAAAGACCUCUUACAACUGCCGGAAAGGGCAUUCAAUCUGAGUGUUUGUCAGACACAGUGCAUUCAAUAUUAAGGUACACUGGAAGCCAAGUCUUCCUAAGAGAAAGGUUCCCAAACCCAAAGAUUCCUGUUUCCCAAUCCCAUUUUUUCGUUUUGUUGUGUUGGUGCAGUAGCUUCCUACUGCUCCUGUAACAAAUCACCAUGAAGUGAGCGUGUUAAAACAGUGCCCAUUUAUCAUCUCACAGUUCAUUGGGCCUCAAGGCCAGCAGCUUUGGCUGGGUUCUCUGCUUAGGGUCUCACGGGCCUCAGUCAAGGUGCUGGCUGGCCUGGGCUCUUAUCUGGAGGCUGUGGAGGGAAAUUUGCUUCCACAAGUACCCAGAUUUUUGGCAAAACUCAGUGCCUCCUUAGUUUCCUAGUGGCUCCCUCCAUUUUUAAGGCAGCGGUGAAUCCUUCUCACACUUAGAAUCUUUCCAGCUUCCCCUUUGCCAUCUGCUAGGAGGAAGCUUAGCUCUUAAAGACCUGUGUAAUCACAUUAAACCCACCUGGGUAAACCAGGCUAAUCCCGUCAUUAAAGUCACUGCGUAGUAACCUUAAGUACAUCUGCAAAGUCCUUGUGCGCACAGGGUAACAACACAUUGACGGGCGAGAUGAUGAGCUGAAAGUCACGGAAGCCAAAAUUUUGACUAUCGCAGUUGGUAGAGCGGAGAAGCUGUUUUCUAUUCUUUGGAUUCCUCAAUUCAGAAAAGACCAUUAUUCUACAAAGUGAUCAAAAUUCCUCAAAAAGACCAUUUUGCCUUGAUGAUCAUGAAUUAAUCACUAAAUCGUUUACCUGUACGUUUCUUGAAUGGAUUAAUAUUUUUAGUGUGCACCACCAUUCCAGGCAAUGCAUACUCCAGCCCUCGUCCUGAAUCCCUGGCUUUGGCUGACAAUGUCCGCGUCAUUUACUCCUACAGAAUGUUGUGGCACUGCAUCCCAGACACAGUUCCCCACAUAAAACUGACUUAGCCCAGAAUUUCUUAGCAUAGUUACUUUUUCCAAGACAAAUACUCUUACUUGAAAUUCAUUGUGCAUUUCAGCUAUUCAGAAAGGUCUUAGUGAGAAUACCUGGCAUGAGUCAAAGAAUUCCCAGGUGUGAACAGUUUUUAAAACUUCACGCAAGGGCAGGGUAACACUGAAUACCUUUUCUUUUGCCUCCAAAACUAAGCUGAAUGAUACACCAGAAUUUGUCCUCAUAUUUUUUUUCAAAUAUUAAUGAAAAAUUCAACCAACAUUUAUGUGAUUCUUGGCAGGAUAAGGCAGAACACACACUCCCUGCCUUCUAGGUUCUCGCCGCCUAGCACAAGAGAAAACAGACAGCUGUGUGGCCCGUGAGGGGGCAGAGACGGGGGGCGUGAGACACCGGCUUUGAAAUGUGUGGUAUGGAGGGCUCCCGAAAGGAGGGAACAUCUGAACCGAGUCGUGUUGGUCAAAUCUAAAUGUUCGGUAGAAGAGGGGAGAAACAGAUAUUCAAUCUAAGCUGAGGGUCCUGGCACACUCAAAGAAGGACGAACAAAAGUGAAUGCAGAUGGGGAAGAGGCUAGUGAAAACUGGGGCUGAAGAGGAAAACAGGAAGGCAUGCUUUCAAAAGCUCCUCCUCUGUGUUACAUUAAAGAAGUUAACUUGAUCCUAAAGGUAAUGGGAUGGUGGGGGUUGAGGGUGGGGAACGAAGAGUGUUAACCUGGGAAGAAACACAAUGAGGUCUGUUAUUCACAUUCUGGAUAGAGUUUGGAGAAGGCGUUAGAGAGCAAUUAGCCUGGAUUCACGGAGUGAGGAGGCUGAUGAGCCAAUAAAAGUAUAAAAUGCUUCUAGUCCCCACCCUAAGGCAGUGCUGGCCCAGGAGAUGGAGAGGAAAGAUGGGCCCUGAACUUAUUAAAGAGGUGGAAGUGGCAGGAAGUGUAAGAGAAUGGAGAGGAGGCCGCAGAGAGGAUCGCCAGCUUCCUGACACAUUGGAGCACCUUACCCCAUUGAUUCCCACAAAAGCACUGCGUCUAGUAGGCAGGGCAGUCACUUGUAUUUAUUAGAUGGGGAAAUGGCUCAGAGUGGUCCAGGGGCUUCCUCCGACUUAGCAAAUGGAGCAGAAACUUUGAUUUUUAGGUGAAGGGCCUUUCUGCUUCUCAUGCAGAAAUUUCACUCACAGUUAACCACAUCAUGAAGAUUUCAGGCUCAUCAUCCUGAAUGUGCAUUUUAGGAAGAACUCAACUGGUCUUUAAAUGAUGGGCCCAUCGUUUGCAUUUCUGAGUUGAAAAAGACAACCUAUAGGUCAAAGUGCCUGUAACUUUUAAUAACUAUACCAGUUCAGAGAGAUAAAGGAGACAAUAAAGCCCCUAAUGCUGCUAAGCAUGCAAUCACUCAACAGGUAUUAAUAGAGCACCUCUAGGCAUACUCUGACAUGAGGUCCUGAAUAAUAACCAGUUUGUUCUCAUAGUGCCUAAUACACAGAAAAACACAGAGACCAAAUUGAAAGCAUAUUUAAAGAGAAAAUGGGAAACAAGAGUUGCAAUGGAAACAGAAUGAAACGAAUACAGGAGAACCUUAGAAAAUAAUCCAGUGGAUCUGAAAUUUUAGAACCAGGAAUGGGAGGAUCAAAUGAAAUAAAAUUUCUAUAGAAAUAAAAAAACUCACAUGUUUAAAUAAUGGUUUGCUAGGAGAAAACAAUCCCAUAUUUAUACAGAUAAUUUUAUCACUUUUAUUUUUUUUUUGGUCUAUGCUCAAUUCCCCAUUCAUCAUUGGAGGGUGUAUGUGCACAUGUGUGUGUUUAAUUGAAAACCCAAGAGGGAAAUAAGUGCAUAAAGAGUGUGUUUCUCCUUGGUGAGUAAAUCCUCAAUCCUUUAGUCAAGAGAAAUAAAACCACUCCAGCCAGGUGCUGAGAGGAGCCAGUGGGUACCUGGCCAUUUCCCUGGUGGUGACCUGCCACUUCAAAGACUAAGAAGGUACCUGAGAAGUGCAUCUCCCCCGCCCCUCCCGUCACCACUAAGCCUAGACUCGCUUGUUCUGAAUGUCUGGAGUUCUGAAAGCACAUCCACCUUCCUCUCCUUUUCGAUCAGCUUCCCCCUCUUGCAAGCCAUUAAGGAUUGAAGUUGUUGCAUUAGAUUUUUCUAUCUGGUUGCCAUAGAAAAUAAAACUCCAAAAGUUAAAAAUCUCUCUUGCUCUGCUUACUGCCUGCAUAUUUUCAGUUCCAUUGAAAGUGGAAAACUUUACUUUUAUAUUUUAAGCUGUCGUCAAAAAAGUCUAUUUAUUUUCACAGAGACUGAUAGCUAAAGUCAUUUUCACAUGAACUAGGUUAAACAUUACAUUCUAGUCCUUCAAUCCACGAAUAUUAAAGAAUUCCUUCUUGGUGGCAUCAAUGAGCUGUGCUGUCAAGGACCUUAGAAUCUAGAACUCAUCACUACCACACACAAUAGGAGGUACAUGGAGAACAUUCAAGUCCCACUCAGUGAGGGGUGCGGGUGGGGUCAGAUCCUGCCAUCCAUUUCAUUAAUGCCAUGAAAGAAAACAUCAGGGUACUAUGAAAAAGUAAAAUAUCCUGCACUUUUCAGGGGAGAACUGUUUGCUAUUCCUUAUAACACAGCAAAGCUCAGCAAAAUCUAUGUAUGCACAAGAAUAAAAACUGAGCUGCUUAUUAAACAUGUAAGUUAGCUUUCUAAUUUGAAUAGGCUCCCUACUGUUUUUGUCCUAUCAUAAAAGCCAUGGGAAUCAAUUUCCUAAAAUUCCGACAGAAACUCUCUUAUCAAAAUUAUUUAAUAAAGACUAAAGGUACAGCACAGUAGCUAGUUAAGUAUGCAGAUUGCUACCUUUAAUGGCAAAAUGACAUAGGAUAGGACGGUCUUCAUUCCCACGGCACAAAAGAUGGAGGAGUCUCAUUACAGACCAUACCUUCUACGCGCACUGAAUGAGAACACGACUCACGUGGGACUGGGGUUUCACCGGGAAGCCUUUAGCUUUCUGCCAGACUCAAGGAUUUGACAAAGCUCUGAGUUCUGUGGCACAGACAACAACCCCUUCUCCUGUGUGGUUUAGCUUCGGCCUGUGACAGACACCCCCAAAUAAAAGAUAAAUUGCCAAGAGUUGAGAUUUUACUCUGAGUAAAAUAGAGUUUUGAGCAAAACAGUGGCAUGAUCUCACUUGUGUUUUUACAGGUUCACCCUGGCUGCUGGGUUGAAAGCAGGCUGUACAGGUAAGCUAUGAGAGCAGUCCAGGUAAGACCCAGGCAAGAAGGCAGCAGGGGCGGUGGUAAGAGGAAGUCAUAUCCUGGAAAAGAUUAAAAAAAUGAACUGAUAGAAUUUUUUAACACAUCGAAAAAGGGUUGUGAGAGAAAAAUGAGUCAUAUGACUUCAAGAUUUUUGGCCCAAGCAACUGGAAAGAUGGAUUUGCCACCUACUGAAAUGAGGAUGACCACAGUGGGACAGGACACAGAGGCAAAGGGGGGCGGGAGGGAAGGAGUUCUGAUAUGCUCAUAACGUCUGUCAGACAUCCAGUUGGACAUGUGGAGUAGGCAGCUGGAUAUUCAUAUAUGGACCUUAGGGGAGAGGUCUCUGCUGGAGAGAGAUAUUCAAGAAUUAUCAGUAUAGCACAAAGAUUAGAUUCAGCUAAGGGCUCUUGACACAGGAGAAUUCUCUUAGCAUUCGAGUGACAAUUCUCCUCGUGGGUGAGGGAAGCACUACUCCGGCAGAGGGAAGCCCGUCCUCUCACUUCCCUCCAGGGUUACCCAUACAUACAGUCUCUGACCUAAUUGUAGGCUUCACACAGAGCGGGAGACAGAGACAGGCAGCUGCUCUUCACCUGCAGAGCGUGAAGGUCACUUUCCAAUGGUGAAAUGAGGGAAAGGGAAUUUAAUUUAAAGAAAACCUGGUCAAACACAGUCCAAAGUAGCUGUCUGGGAGAGCCCUUUGGUAUGCCGUGUGCCCAAGGAAUCUCAUCUAUUUGGGGGGCUCCUGUUUUCCCCUCCAUUUUGCAGAUACGUUAUCUUUUGCAGAUAACGCCAACAAUGGAUCUAUUCAUCAACUUCAUGAAGGUAAGAGAGCGGUGAGGGGCAACUAAGACAAACUCAUUUUCAGCCAAAUUGACCAUAAGCCAAAAAGCAUAUAAAUAAAGAUUCAGAAUAUCUGCCUUACCAACACUAAUUUUCUGUGGGAAGCAAAAAGGCACCAGAUGCUUAAGCUUUUUAGAUGUUUGCAGUGGGUGACUAAAAAGAAGCAGUCUCUACAGAAGGAGCCUUGUAAACCCAAGCCUAAAAGUGAAGGUAAAUAUGAAACUAAUGUCUUAUAUUUAAAUCAUGCUUAUAGCUAUGAAAAAAAAUCACUCAUCUGUAUUCAAGUCCUUUCAGCAUUUAUGGACUCUGAUCUGUAGUUUUGGAGAGAUGAACAUAUAACAUCAUCUUCCGAGUGUGCUACUUUUUUAAAAGCUUCCAUUGCGAUUUACUUACAAUUCAGUUGGACAGCUCUUAAACUCACUAACCAGUUCUCUCGGAAGUGACAAAUGGGCUGCCAGGUACUGACAGAAGGAGGAAUGUAGCUGAGACAGGAUAGAGAAGGAAAUACCCCAGUCACUCAAGGAGAGCUCGGUGCCAAUUCCUCAGCAAUCAACUUAAAAUAAGGACUUUUCCACCUAUGCAAGGAUAAAACUAUCCAUUUUCCCAUUCCUAGAUAGGGAUAGAUUUAGUGAAAAUAAAACAAUUGUAUAAAAGUCACCAUGUGUGAAGUCGAAAUCUUGUUUUGAAUUUUUAUCCAGCAUUUGUUCCGCCAGGAACAUUUCCAAAAAGGAAAGGUUUUGUUGCAAUUGCUGUGACACCACACACUUGCACGGGAGCAGUGAGAACACAUCAGGAUACUCUCUCUGGCUUUCACUCCUUUCGAAAUAUUUGUGUUGCUACAAUGCUCAUUUGCCAGUCUUACGUGACUUACUAUACCUUUCAUUCAUCUGGGUGUGGUCGUACAGCUGUGAUUCCAGAAACCUUUACAGAAGUUGGGAUAAAAAUAUACUGCGAGGAAAAACCAAGAAGUCUACCUACCUUUCUCACUGUAUAGUUACACCACAUUAACAAAUUAUGGUGCACAUUAGUCUUCACUUUCACAAGCCUGAGGUAAGUCGAAUUAGUAACUUUAGGAAGCACCUAGGUCAAACUGAAUUAGUAUUACACAGACACAGAGAACAGACUGAGGGUUGCCAGAGGGGAGAGGUUUGGGGGAACGGGUGACAAAGGUGAAGGGAUUGAGAAGUACAGGUUGGUGGCAACAAAACAGUCACCGAGAUGAAAAGUACAGCACAGGGAGUAUGGUCAAUGAUAUUGAGGUAGCUCUGUGUGGGGCAGGUGGGCACUGGAAACAUCAGAGGGGCCGCUUUUGUAAAGCAGAUGCUUGUCUAACCACUAUGUUGUGCUCCUGAAACUAAUACAAAAUAAUAAUGAAUGUAAACUGUAAUUGAAAAAUACAAUUUAAUACAUAAGUACAUAGCAUGACUACACACUUGUGAGAAAAUGCCCGGAGGCUUACAAAAGUUGAUGAAAUGCUCAGUUACUUUAUCAGGUAGAUCCUCUUCUCAUAGCUAAGGAAGUCUUUACUCAAGUUUAUAUGAACAGACAGAGUUGGGUUUUACUCAAUCUUCUUCACUUCACUCACCUGUCAACUAUUUUCGUUGUUGGGGUCACGAUUAGUAGGAAAACCUUUAAAAAGUCUUUGGCUUUGCUUUAUUCUCAAACUGGGUCUUGGGGAAGGAGAGCCCCACAGAAGUGGGCCCCAGCAGCCAGGAAAGCAGCAGAGGUCCUGGGAGCAUAAGGACCCCAGGCCCCAGGGAAGGGCAGGGACAGCGGCCCAGGGAUGCGUCCCUAGGGUCGGGGCCAGGCCUGAAACACGGUAGGUGUCCACCAAUACCUGGUGAAUUAACACUUACACACAAAAUUUGCCCAAAACAUUCUGGUCAGAUUUCAUGAACUUCAGAAGUAUUUUGUAAUAUCAACAAAUUUUGCACAAAUCUAGAUAUAUAAAUUAAGGAUAAUAUUGGCCUUCUCUUUGCAUAAACUUGGGUAUUCUCUUACAGCAACACUUUUCCA